RNAcentral lists this ribosomal RNA (269 nucleotides) under uncultured bacterium. Its description in RNAcentral is "partial 16S ribosomal RNA". It matches the Rfam family "Bacterial small subunit ribosomal RNA", at positions 29 to 318 of the family's 1533-position model. The record is from RNAcentral.
AACGAACGCUGGCGGCAGGCUUAACACAUGCAAGUCGAACGCGUGUAGCAAUACACGAGUGGCGCACGGGUGAGUAACGCGUGGAUAUCUGCCUUUUUGGGUUCGGAAUAACCCCGGGAACGUGGGCGUAAUACCGGAUGGUUCCUUCGGGAGUAAAGAUUUAUUCGCCAAAAGAAUGAGUCCGCGUACGAUUAGCUAGUUGGUGAGGUAAUGGCUCACCAAGGCGACGAUCGUUAGCUGGUCNGAGAGGACGAUCAGCCACACUGGGA